ACUUAGGCCGAUUAACAGGC
This 20-nucleotide small nuclear RNA is filed under the name Arabidopsis thaliana (thale cress). RNAcentral describes it as "snRNA_09174". Lineage: Eukaryota; Viridiplantae; Streptophyta; Magnoliopsida; Brassicales; Brassicaceae. The record is from RNAcentral.